Molecule: ribosomal RNA, 489 nt
Filed under: uncultured Soonwooa sp.
Lineage: Bacteria; Pseudomonadati; Bacteroidota; Flavobacteriia; Flavobacteriales; Weeksellaceae
Description: bacterial SSU rRNA
Rfam family: Bacterial small subunit ribosomal RNA
Source: RNAcentral
UAAUACGGAGGGUGCAAGCGUUAUCCGGAUUUAUUGGGUUUAAAGGGUCCGUAGGCGGGCUUGUAAGUCAGUGGUGAAAUCCGGCAGCUCAACUGUCGAACUGCCAUUGAUACUGCAAGUCUUGAGUAAAUUAGAAGUGGCUGGAAUAAGUAGUGUAGCGGUGAAAUGCAUAGAUAUUACUUAGAACACCAAUUGCGAAGGCAGGUCACUAUGUUUUAACUGACGCUGAUGGACGAAAGCGUGGGUAGCGAACAGGAUUAGAUACCCUGGUAGUCCACGCCGUAAACGAUGAUUACUCGUUUUUGGGCUUUAUAGUUCAGAGACUAAGCGAAAGUGAUAAGUAAUCCACCUGGGGAGUACGUUCGCAAGAAUGAAACUCAAAGGAAUUGACGGGGGCCCGCACAAGCGGUGGUGCAUGUGGUUUAAUUCGAUGAUACGCGAGGAACCUUACCAAGGCUUAAAUGGGAAUUGACAGGCUUAGAAAUAGGC